Etheostoma cragini (Arkansas darter) is the source of this 95-nucleotide long non-coding RNA. RefSeq lists it as uncharacterized. The transcript is spliced from 3 exons. The record is from RefSeq and is a predicted model, not a curated record. NCBI's taxonomy places the organism in Eukaryota, Metazoa, Chordata, Actinopteri, Perciformes, Percidae.
AAUUUCAAAAGGGGAGAGCUAAAUAACUAGAAAAUGCAUUUCCUGCAGAAAAUGCGUGGGAAUGCUGAAUAGCUAAAUUGCAAAAGCAAACCAGG